This 240-nucleotide ribosomal RNA is filed under the name uncultured bacterium. RNAcentral describes it as "partial 16S ribosomal RNA". It matches the Rfam family "Bacterial small subunit ribosomal RNA", at positions 96 to 334 of the family's 1533-position model. The record is from RNAcentral.
UGGCGAACGGGUGAGUAACGCGUGAGGAACCUGCCUCAAAGAGGGGGACAACAGUUGGAAACGACUGCUAAUACCGCAUAAGCCCACGGGUCGGCAUCGAUCUGAGGGAAAAGGAGUGAUCCGCUUUGAGAUGGCCUCGCGUCCGAUUAGCUAGUUGGUGAGGUAACGGCCCACCAAGGCGACGAUCGGUAGCCGGACUGAGAGGUUGAACGGCCACAUUGGGACUGAGACACGGCCCAG